Molecule: non-coding RNA, 145 nt
Organism: Gossypium raimondii (Peruvian cotton)
Lineage: Eukaryota; Viridiplantae; Streptophyta; Magnoliopsida; Malvales; Malvaceae
Source: Rfam
UGUUAAAAAUUUCAUCCAUUUCUACUAUUAACAAUUGACAUGACUGACAGAAUAACCAAAUAGUGAUACGUGUCAUGCCACAUGUAUUUUAUGCCAACGAAUAGGGAACAAUUUUUAACAAUAGAAAUAGAUGAAAUUUUUAAUA